GUUAGGAAUCUUCCACAAUGGGGGCAACCCUGAUGGAGCAACACCGCGUGCUGGAUGAAGGCCUUCGGGUCGUAAACAGCUUUUGUAUACGAAGAAUAUGACGGUAAUAUACGAAUAAGGGUCGGCUAACUACGUGCCAGCAGCCGCGGUCAUACGUAGGACCCAAGCGUUAUCCGGAGUGACUGGGCGUAAAGAGUUGCGUAGGCGGCUUAUUAAGCGAGUAGUGAAAUCUGGUGGCUCAACCAUCAACACAUUGCUCGAACUGAUAGGCUUGAGAAUGGUAGAGGUAGUUGGAAUUUCUUGUGUAGGAGUGAAAUCCGUAGAUAUAAGAAGGAACACCAAUGGCGUAGGCAGGUUACUGGACCAUUUCUGACGCUGAGGCACGAAAGCGUGGGGAGCGAACCGGAUUAGAUACCCGAGUAGUCC
This 426-nucleotide ribosomal RNA is filed under the name uncultured bacterium. Its description in RNAcentral is "partial 16S ribosomal RNA". It matches the Rfam family "Bacterial small subunit ribosomal RNA", at positions 354 to 796 of the family's 1533-position model. The record is from RNAcentral.